This 1444-nucleotide ribosomal RNA is filed under the name uncultured organism. Its description in RNAcentral is "SSU rRNA". It matches the Rfam family "Bacterial small subunit ribosomal RNA". The record is from RNAcentral.
ACGCUAGCUACAGGCUUAACACAUGCAAGUCGAGGGGCAGCAUGGUCUUAGCUUGCUAAGACUGAUGGCGACCGGCGCACGGGUGAGUAACACGUAUCCAACCUGCCGUCUACUCUUGGACAGCCUUCUGAAAGGAAGAUUAAUACAAGAUGGCAUCAUGAGUCCGCAUGUUCACAUGAUUAAAGGUAUUCCGGUAGACGAUGGGGAUGCGUUCCAUUAGAUAGUAGGCGGGGUAACGGCCCACCUAGUCUUCGAUGGAUAGGGGUUCUGAGAGGAAGGUCCCCCACAUUGGAACUGAGACACGGUCCAAACUCCUACGGGAGGCAGCAGUGAGGAAUAUUGGUCAAUGGGCGAGAGCCUGAACCAGCCAAGUAGCGUGAAGGAUGACUGCCCUAUGGGUUGUAAACUUCUUUUAUAAAGGAAUAAAGUCGGGUAUGGAUACCCGUUUGCAUGUACUUUAUGAAUAAGGAUCGGCUAACUCCGUGCCAGCAGCCGCGGUAAUACGGAGGAUCCGAGCGUUAUCCGGAUUUAUUGGGUUUAAAGGGAGCGUAGAUGGAUGUUUAAGUCAGUUGUGAAAGUUUGCGGCUCAACCGUAAAAUUGCAGUUGAUACUGGAUAUCUUGAGUGCAGUUGAGGCAGGCGGAAUUCGUGGUGUAGCGGUGAAAUGCUUAGAUAUCACGAAGAACUCCGAUUGCGAAGGCAGCCUGCUAAGCUGCAACUGACAUUGAGGCUCGAAAGUGUGGGUAUCAAACAGGAUUAGAUACCCUGGUAGUCCACACGGUAAACGAUGAAUACUCGCUGUUUGCGAUAUACUGCCAGCGGCCCAGCGAAAGCGUUAAGUAUUCCACCCUGGGGAGUACGCCGGCCAACGUGAAACUCCAAAGAAUUGACCGGGGGCCCGCACAAGCGGAGGAACAUGUGAUUUUAAUUUGAUGUUACGCGAGGAACCUUACCCGGGCUUAAAUUGCAGAUGAAUUACGGUGAAAGCCGUAAGCCGCAAGGCAUCUGUGAAGGUGCCGCAUGGUUGUUGUCAGCUGGUGCCGUGAGGUGUCGGCUUAAGUGCCAUAACGAGCGCAACCCUUGUUGUCAGUUACUAACAGGUUCCGCUGAGGACUCUGACAAGACUGCCAUCGUAAGAUGUGAGGAAGGUGGGGAUGACGUCAAAUCAGCACGGCCCUUACGUCCGGGGCUACACACGUGUUACAAUGGGGGGUACAGAGGGCCGCUACCACGCGAGUGGAUGCCAAUCCCCAAAACCUCUCUCAGUUCGGACUGGAGUCUGCAACCCGACUCCACGAAGCUGGAUUCGCUAGUAAUCGCGCAUCAGCCAUGGCGCGGUGAAUACGUUCCCGGGCCUUGUACACACCGCCCGUCAAGCCAUGAAAGCCGGGGGUACCUGAAGUACGUAACCGCAAGGAGCGUCCUAGGGUAAAACUGGUAAUUGG